RNAcentral lists this ribosomal RNA (463 nucleotides) under uncultured bacterium. RNAcentral describes it as "partial 16S ribosomal RNA". It matches the Rfam family "Bacterial small subunit ribosomal RNA", at positions 28 to 507 of the family's 1533-position model. The record is from RNAcentral.
GAUGAACGCUGACAGAAUGCUUAACACAUGCAAGUCUUUGGCGAAGCUGUGCUUGCACAGCCUAGCCAAGGCGGACGGGUGGGUAACGCGUAAUGAACUUGCCCUGCAGUCAGGGAUAACAGACGGAAACGACUGAUAAGACCUGGUAAAGUCAGGCGGACUCAUGUCCAGCCUGAUGAAAAGAGAUGCUGCAGGAGAGCCUUGCGUCCUAUUAGCUUGUUGGUGGGGUAACGGCCCCCCAAGGCGAUGAUAGGUAGCCGGCCUGAGAGGGUGGACGGCCACAAGGGGACUGAGAUACGGCCCUUACUCCUGCGGGAGGGAGCAGUGGGGAAUAUUGGAAAAUGGGGGCAACCCUGAUCGAGCAAUUCUGUGUGAACGAUGAAGGUUUUCGGAGUGUAAAGUGCUUGCAGCAGGGAAGAAAAAAAUGACGGUACCUGCAGAAGAAGCGACGGCUAAAUACGUG